ACAUGCAAGUCGAGCGGAACCAUUGGAGCUUGCUCCUUUGGUUUAGCGGCGGACGGGUGAGUAACACGUGGGCAACCUGCCCUGCAGAUCGGGAUAACUCCGGGAAACCGGUGCUAAUACCGAAUAGUUUGUUGUCCCUCCUGGGACAGCACGGAAAGACGGUUUCGGCUGUCACUGCAGGAUGGGCCCGCGGCGCAUUAGCUAGUUGGUGGGGUAAUGGCCCACCAAGGCGACGAUGCGUAGCCGACCUGAGAGGGUGAUCGGCCACACUGGGACUGAGACACGGCCCAGACUCCUACGGGAGGCAGCAGUAGGGAAUCUUCCGCAAUGGACGAAAGUCUGACGGAGCAACGCCGCGUGAGUGACGAAGGUUUUCGGAUCGUAAAACUCUGUUGUGAGGGAAGAACAAGUGCCAACUAACUACUGGCACCUUGACGGUACCUCACCAGAAAGCCACGGCUAACUACGUGCCAGCAGCCGCGGUAAUACGUAGGUGGCAAGCGUUGUCCGGAAUUAUUGGGCGUAAAGCGCGCGCAGGCGGUUCUUUAAGUCUGAUGUGAAAGCCCACGGCUCAACCGUGGAGGGUCAUUGGAAACUGGAGAACUUGAGUGCAGAAGAGGAAAGUGGAAUUCCAUGUGUAGCGGUGAAAUGCGUAGAGAUGUGGAGGAACACCAGUGGCGAAGGCGACUUUCUGGUCUGUAACUGACGCUGAGGCGCGAAAGCGUGGGGAGCAAACAGGAUUAGAUACCC
Molecule: ribosomal RNA, 750 nt
Filed under: Planococcus sp. sm460-2
Lineage: Bacteria; Bacillati; Bacillota; Bacilli; Caryophanales; Caryophanaceae
Also listed under: 1 other name
Description: bacterial SSU rRNA
Rfam family: Bacterial small subunit ribosomal RNA
Source: RNAcentral